AGUCGUAACAAGGUCUCCGUUGGUGAACCAGCGGAGGGAUCAUUACCGAGUUAUUCAACUCAUCAACCCUGUGAACAUACCUAAACGUUGCUUCGGCGGGAACAGACGGCCCCGUGAAACGGGCCGCCCCCGCCAGAGGACCCCUAACUCUGUUUCUAUAAUGUUUCUUCUGAGUAAAACAAGCAAAUAAAUUAAAACUUUCAACAACGGAUCUCUUGGCUCUGGCAUCGAUGAAGAACGCAGCGAAAUGCGAUAAGUAAUGUGAAUUGCAGAAUUCAGUGAAUCAUCGAAUCUUUGAACGCACAUUGCGCCCGCCAGUAUUCUGGCGGGCAUGCCUGUUCGAGCGUCAUUACAACCCUCAGGCCCCCGGGCCUGGCGUUGGGGAUCGGCGGAGCCCCCCGUGGGCACACGCCGUCCCCCAAAUACAGUGGCGGUCCCGCCGCAGCUUCCAUCGCGUAGUAGCUAACACCUCGCGACUGGAGAGCGGCGCGGCCACGCCGUAAAACACCCAACUCUUCUGAAGUUGACCUCGAAUCAGGUAGGAAUACCCGCUGAACCUAAGCAUAUC
RNAcentral lists this unclassified non-coding RNA (568 nucleotides) under Fusarium vanettenii. Its description in RNAcentral is "sequence contains 18S rRNA gene, ITS1, 5.8S rRNA gene, ITS2, 28S rRNA gene". The stretch from base 196 to 349 matches the Rfam family "5.8S ribosomal RNA". The record is from RNAcentral. Lineage: Eukaryota; Fungi; Ascomycota; Sordariomycetes; Hypocreales; Nectriaceae.